UAGUGUUGUAACAGUGAUCAGGUUGAGACAGUACCUGGCUUUGGCCCCGGACUGAGGUCACCUGCACAUGAACAGAUGAUGAAUCUACAGUCACAUAGAGCAGAGGUUUAUGGAGAGAUGAGGACCUCACACCUCUCAAAAGAGGAGUGUGACAGAAUCGUCUGGGGGGAGACGGCGCAGAACAGCUGCAGACGUGAGUAUGUGUGAGUGUGUGUCAGUGUGUAUGAAGGGAAUAGACUCAGUAGGACAGGAGAGAGAAAGGAGGGCUCAUAUGUUACCAUGACCUCUUCAUUAUUGAUGGCAUGUCAGGCAAAGUCCUGUUACCGCCCCCCUCACCAGCUCAAACUGUCAGAAAUAAGUGAGUGGAGUUAUUCCCACUCCCAAUGAUGGAAAAGAAACCUUAUGUAAAAAUUGGCCCUGGCUGUCCUCUAGUUUGUUUCAGAGAGACAAGCCAUGAUAGUAAUGUAUUUAAGGAUAUACCUUGCCCUUGCCUUGUGUCCUCUGACACAGCAAAAUAUCCUCUCUUUGUCCCUCUCUAUUGCUUUCCUUUCCCCUCUCUCUCUUAUGUUCCUCUCCUUUAGUUUCCUUCUCUGUCAUCAGCACUUUCACUUGACCCCUCUCUCUCUCUCCCUUUAUCCCACAUUUCCAACUGUUUAGCUCCCCCCUCUCCUUAUCUUGUCUAUUUACCUCCCCUCCCACUCCCUCUUGCUAGCUCUGCUUCUUCCGUCUAUAAGAAUAUUUAGAAGAUAAAUACACAACGCAAAGACAGAGGACGAGAGGACAAUAGAGUACUAACGAUCAAUGGAAAUAGUGUUUUUUCUGUAAUAGGGAUAUAUUGAUCAAUGGGUCAGAGACGUGAGGAAUUUGUCUAGGCAUCGAGCCUGAAUUAGGAUACUUCUUAUUUGGCUUUUGGUCCUGUUUUAUUGCAAGGAAUUCUAAUUGGUCAACCACAGGCUAGGGCUGGGUUAUAAACGACAUCCUGUCCCUAUGUUCUGUGGAUAGAAUCACAGGAGAGAAUCACUGAGGGGAGAAUCACUGAGGACAGAGAAGGAACGGCCAUCUACCUCUCAACAUAACAUCUAUGAUUUAUCCUCUCUGAAUAAACCUAUUUUCCUCCACCUGAUUUGCUUUGGGGUCUGUGUUAUUAUAGAAUAACUUCAACUUCUAACAUUUGGUGCCGUGACCCGGAUGAAUUGGUCUGAACAACAACAAGAAAAAACUUAUCAACUGUGUGUUGCUCCUGAAGAAAGAGAGAAGGCUGAGCGCAACCCACUUUGGGGAGUCAACUCUGCUGAUUGAUGGCAUAAUUGCUGGGUUAUGAGAAUCUACAGUCUGAAGCUGAAGCAAUAUCCCUAUAACCAAGGACUCUACCUGAAAUGAUACAAGAUCACCGGUGAAGUGUUCAUUAGAAAAGUCCUUAACCCGUGGAACGGAAGAAGAAUUCCUCACUACCGGCAGACUGCCAGAACAUCAUUUCUAAUAGUUAUCAAUGUGGGACUGAUACCAGUGUGGAAGAGCUGGUCACUUUUAAAGGACUUGGUGAAUGAUUACCUUGCCAAUAGGAUGAUUGAAUAUUAUUUUCUUGUAGACAAUUUUUUGUGUGUGUUUGAGUUUCCUCCUAAUACAGGAUGUGGUGCGAUUCAUCAUUACACCUGUUAAUACUUAUUUUCUAUAACUUUGUUUUAAAUCUAUUUCUUAUUGGAACAGCAAGUACAAUAUGCCCUUUGUGUUUUAUAGAAAUGCAAGGUGUUUUAAUGUUAGUGAUUUUAUGCUUACAGCUAAUGUUUUUUAUACUGUCUAUUUUUUCUAUGUUUUCUAAAAAAUACAUUUUUAAGUAUAUUUAUUUCUAAAAUGGUCUAGAGGGGAGUAUAAGAAUAUUUAGAAGAUAAAUGCACAACGCAGAGACAGAGGAUAAUCAAUGGAACAAAGAAAUAGUGUAUUUUCUGUAAAAGGGAAUUAUUGAUCAAUGGGUCAGAGACAUGGGAGGAAUUUGUCUAGACAUCGAGCCUGAAAUAGGAUACGUGUUAUUUGGCCAUUGGCCCUGUUUUAUUGCAAGGAAUUCUAAUUGGUCAACCACAGGCUAGGGCUGGGUUAUAAACUACAUCCUGUCCCUACGUUCUGUGGAUAGAAUCACAGGAGAGAAUCACUGAGGGGAGAAUCACUGAGGACAGAGAAGGAACGGCCAUCUACCUCUCAACAUAACAUCUAUGAUUUAUCCUCUUUGAAUAAACCUAUUUUUCUUCCCCUGA
Molecule: non-coding RNA, 2249 nt
Organism: Oncorhynchus mykiss (rainbow trout)
Lineage: Eukaryota; Metazoa; Chordata; Actinopteri; Salmoniformes; Salmonidae
Source: RefSeq, a predicted model, not a curated record